Molecule: ribosomal RNA, 651 nt
Filed under: uncultured eukaryote
Lineage: Eukaryota
Description: SSU rRNA
Rfam family: Eukaryotic small subunit ribosomal RNA
Source: RNAcentral
CGGAGAGGGAGCAUGAGAAACGGCUACCACAUCUAAGGAAGGCAGCAGGCGCGAAAAUUACCCAAUACUAAUACAGUGAGGUAGUAACAAUAAAUAACACAGCCCAGCAUUUCAUGUUGGGCUUUUGGAAUGAGAACAAUUUAAAUCCAUUAUCGAGGAUCAAUUGGAGGGCAAGUCUGGUGCCAGCAGCCGCGGUAAUUCCAGCUCCAAUAGCGUAUAUUAAAGUUGCUGCAGUUAAAAAGCUCGUAGUUGGAUUUCUAGCGAGGCACGAGAAUAUCCACCUAUGGUGAAUACUUCUCUCGCCUUGCUCUUCUUUAGUUGAUGUCUCUGGCAUUAAGUUGUCGGAGUCCUGAGACUAAUCGUUUACUGUGAGAAAAUUAGAGUGUUCAAAGCAGGCUUAUGCCGUUGAAUAUAUUAGCAUGGAAUAAUAAGAUAGGACUUCGGUACUAUUUUGUUGGUUUGCGUACUGAUGUAAUGAUAAAUAGGGACUGGCGUGGGUAUUCGUAUUUUAAUGUCAGAGGUGAAAUUCUUAGAUUAUUGAAAGGCGGACGACUGCGAAAGCAUCUACCAAGUAUGUUUUCAUUAAUCAAGAACGAAAGUAUGGCGAUCGAAGAUGAUUAGAUACCAUCGUAGUCUAUACCAUAAACUAUG